UUAAUUUAGUAUUUCUAAUUAAGAAUGAAUUAGGGCUCUAAAAUACUAAUGUGAUUGAGAUUCCUAAUUCUAUAAAUAAGACUUAGGGUUUCUGUUGUUAUUAGACAAGUUUUGGAUUAUGAUCAUUGUUGAGAUUAAAUAAAUUAUUGACAAUUAGUUUUCUUUUCCAAGGAUUGGUCCUUGAUUUCUCUUAGUUCUUUAUUCUUCUUUAUUUUUUCUACAUCAAUAAUAGAUAUUUCUCAAUUAGUUAAGAGGCAAAUAUGUAUAUUUAGCCGAUGUGUAAACAAAUGACAGAACUAUAACCAUCUUUACCAUCCUAAAUUCCUAAUACAUUAUCUUGGAUACAGAAUAAAUCAUUGGAUUUGUGAAUUAUCAACACCCUGCUUCAUUCUCAUAUUAAAUUGACCAUGUUACAGCUAAUAGACAUUGCUCAUAUUCUAGCCAUAUUGUUCAUCAAAUGAAAACUCAGGACCAUUAACAUUUAGCAAUUAAGAGAUAUCAAGGUCACACAGAAAAAGAUAAACCAAUGUAUAUAUAUAUAAAAACUUUGAACACAGCACUGUUACUAGAGACGAAUAAAUACCUGAGUGAGGCCAACAACACCAAUAAGCUGUAAGGUCUUCUCCCACUCUAUUAAUGCAUACAAUGCCGCAACAGAACCCACACCAUACCCAAGGACUUGCACUGGAGAAGCACUAAGAUCUUCUAGGAUUGCCUCGGCUUCCUCAUUCAGUAAGGUUAGUGCUGUCUCAGGUUUAAGUUCCUUGAUUCGAAGACCUUGUUUCACCCAGGACUGGAAGCCACCCUGGACCAAGUACGGUCUCUUAACCCCAAGUUUUCUCAAGGAUCUUGCAAUGCCUUUGGAAGAGAUACCGUCAGCAUCCAUAACUAUGACCUUGGACCUGAACAGCUUUCAAGUUUUGAAUAACUGCAGCAAUUAAGGUGCUGUCAAUGUCACUGCCACCUUUUAACAAUUUCCGCAGUGGUUCAUCAACCUUUGGUAGAGUUACACUUGCAUAGCGAAACCGAGCUGUUCGUCGAAUAUCAGGAAUGCCAUCUCUUUCUCUCAGAACCUUGACAAAGGAAAUGCCCAGCCCCGAAUUUCAGUGCAAGUAAAAUCAAAAUAAAAGAUGACAUCAGCCAUAGCCUUAAAAGUAAGCUAUUAUAGAACAUAGUUUGAAAAAGGAGAAACCCUUAAGUAGAACCAACUUCAAAACAAUAGGAGAAUUUGUUUCAGUUUAGGCUCUCUCAUGGAACUUUUACAUGAUCAACUGAACAAAAUAAAUGACCAGAAAAAUUUAAAAUCUCUUACCUCAGGCCGAACAUCAACAAGUACAGCAUUCUCCUCCCCAUUCAAAAGCUCUAAAGUUAAUUGAGGAGAUAAAUCUCCAGAGUAACCACCAUAAGCCCACACCCAAUAAAAAAUCCAAAGAGUGGCCGAGGUUCCAACGAGAAGAAAGAAUGGAACAAUUGGAUCAUUAGGAUCAAAGCCAAAAUUUUUCUCCAAUUCCUCAAUAGCAACGUAAACCUGCUGAAAAGAUGUACCAACAGGCCUCAAUAGUUGUACUGCUUUUUCUUCAGACAAAAUUAGUGAAUCCCUGAUCUCAGGAGGAAGUAGUCCCUUGGCAGACCCAUAAGCAUAAACAACAAAAGAAGCCCCUUUUACUAUCAAGUCCUCCACUGCAACAAUUGUGCCUCUCAACACAUCAACAGAACUGACUGUUGCUUUACUUGUGGCUUCCUUCAAGUCACUUGAAAAGCUAUUUAGUCUAUUGCCAGCCAAUCCUCUAGUUUGAUCUACAGCUGAAAACACCCCACUCAAGGCAUUAUCCACUGCUUCAGAAGCACUUUUUGUAAUUGAUGUUAUCGAUGAAGUAAUUGUAUCUAGUGAGCUUUUCACAACAUUUUCUCCCUCACUCACAGAAGUGUUGAUGGAGUCCCUAAUCCCAUCAAGAAAAUCAUCAAAACUAGUCUUCACACUAGAUAACGAAUCAUUAUCCAUAUCCAAGGAGUCAGAUUCUAUGCUGGGAUUCUCUGAUGUUAUAAUACUAGUUGGCAUGAGAUUGGGUUCCACAGGUCUUGCCAAACUAUCUGCAUUUUCUGUUGACUGGCCAGUAAAGUCCGUUAGUCCCUCUUUUACAUCAGAUAUGCUAUAACUUUCUACAUAUUCCACUUUCUCCCUACCCUUAAGGUCCAGUGCAUUGUAUAACUUGCAUUUAAUGUUAUUUAAUUCAUUUCUGCAGGUAGGAUUUUCAGUGAUUUCCAUGGGUACUGAUAGUUCAUUUCUUUCAUGGAAAAUGGGGUAAGAUGAUUUUGCAGCUUGAGUUUUAAAGGAAAUUCUUUGCCAAUGAGUUCCGUUUGGAAAGCCCAUACCAACUCUGUCUUCCACAAUACAUCUGGAUUCAGAAUCAUUCCGGUGUGGACAAAAGAGUUGCAGUCCUCCGUGGAAUGAAAUCUGAGGAUGAGAAGAACAGCAUGGGGUGGCUGAGCAAACAGGCAUCAUUUUUGUGUCAACUCAAUAUGAAACCCAAAAGAAUACCUCACAAAACUCCCAUUUUCUGCUUAAAAGCCAGAUAAAGUAAACAAAGUGAAACCAAACAAAUCACCAAAAAGGAAAGGAAGAAGGUAAAAUGAUUUGGACAAAACUAAGCUAUGAUGAAAGGAAACUAUCUGAAUUUACAACAAUAUAAUCAAUUUACAAGUGGACUUCAUGAGAUUCAAUCCUUGAGCCCAAAAGAAGUAAAGAUGUAAUAAAACUAGUCAACAGAGCAAACAAAAAUAUGCAUUUCAACCAAAAAAAUAAAAUAAAAUUUAACAAAAUAAAAUAACCGCCGCCUUGCUCCUUUUAUAUCAUUGUGGAUUAGAAAUUCAAAAAAAGAGAAAGAAAUAAAGAAAAGAAUGAUCAAAAUAAGCACAACUAAACCAAAGUCAAUAAAAUUCCUUAGUUUGUUUCUGAAAAUUUGAAACUCUACCACCAGUGAUAAAUGUAGAACUUAAAGAAAGUAAUGUAUAUAGAUCAAAACAAUCUAAAUUAAACCAGAACCAAGUGAAUUAAAGACGAUAAUGUCAGUAAUCCAAAUGAUUUUUUUCUUUUUUUUUUUUAAUUUUUUUUUCCCUUGUUUAGUAGGAGGU
Molecule: unclassified non-coding RNA, 3132 nt
Filed under: Hevea brasiliensis (rubber tree)
Lineage: Eukaryota; Viridiplantae; Streptophyta; Magnoliopsida; Malpighiales; Euphorbiaceae
Source: RNAcentral